UAUUGGUUUGGAGAGUUCUUAUCGAUAAAUCAGUUUGCGACCUCGAUGUUGGAUUAAAAUGCAUUACUGGUGUAGAAGCUAGUAAAUUAAGUCUGUUCGACUUUUAAAAUUUUACAUGAUCUGAGUUUAAACCGGCGUGAGCCAGGUUGGUUUCUAUCUCCAAAUAAUUAUAACUUCUUAGUACGAAAGGACCAGAUGUUAACUAAAUUAGUUUAGUUGAGAAU
This 224-nucleotide ribosomal RNA is filed under the name Nigidionus parryi. RNAcentral's name for it is "partial 16S ribosomal RNA". The stretch from base 1 to 161 matches the Rfam family "Bacterial large subunit ribosomal RNA", at positions 2484 to 2645 of the family's 2925-position model. The record is from RNAcentral. Lineage: Eukaryota; Metazoa; Arthropoda; Insecta; Coleoptera; Lucanidae.